UUACGGUCAUAUAACUUUGAAAAACCGGUUCCCAUAUCUUCAGCUAAGUUAAGGCAAGUCGAGUCUGGCCAGUACCUAGAUGGGUGACCGCAUAGGAAUACCAGGUGCUGCAGG
This is a non-coding RNA of Acanthosepion pharaonis, 114 nucleotides long. The record is from the annotation of a GenBank genome assembly. Lineage: Eukaryota; Metazoa; Mollusca; Cephalopoda; Sepiida; Sepiidae.